This 460-nucleotide ribosomal RNA is filed under the name uncultured bacterium. Its description in RNAcentral is "partial 16S ribosomal RNA". It matches the Rfam family "Bacterial small subunit ribosomal RNA", at positions 338 to 795 of the family's 1533-position model. The record is from RNAcentral.
CCUACGGGAGGCAGCAGUGAGGAAUAUUGGUCAAUGGGCGAGAGCCUGAACCAGCCAAGUAGCGUGAAGGAUGACUGCCCUAUGGGUUGUAAACUUCUUUUAUAUGGGAAUAAAGUGUACUACGUAUGGUAUUUUGUAUGUACCAUAUGAAUAAGGAUCGGCUAACUCCGUGCCAGCAGCCGCGGUAAUACGGAGGAUCCGAGCGUUAUCCGGAUUUAUUGGGUUUAAAGGGAGCGUAGGUGGAUUGUUAAGGCAGUUGUGAAAGUUUGCGGCUCAACCGUAAAAUUGCAGUUGAGACUGGCAGUCUUGAGUACAGUAGAGGUAGGCGGAAUUCGUGGUGUAGCGGUGAAAUGCUUAGAUAUCACGAAGAACUCCGAUUGCGAAGGCAGCUCACUGGACUGCAACUGACGCUGAGGCUCGAAAGUGUGGGUAUCAAACAGGAUUAGAUACCCUUGUAGUC